AGCGAACGCUGGCGGCAGGCCUAACACAUGCAAGUCGAACGAACUCUUCGGAGUUAGUGGCGGACGGGUGAGUAACACGUGGGAACGUGCCUUUAGGUUCGGAAUAACUCAGGGAAACUUGUGCUAAUACCGAAUGUGCCCUUCGGGGGAAAGAUUUAUCGCCUUUAGAGCGGCCCGCGUCUGAUUAGCUAGAUGGUGAGGUAAAGGCUCACCAAGGCGACGAUCAGUAGCUGGUCUGAGAGGAUGAUCAGCCACAUUGGGACUGAGACACGGCCCAAACUCCUACGGGAGGCAGCAGUGGGGAAUCUUGCGCAAUGGGCGAAAGCCUGACGCAGCCAUGCCGCGUGAAUGAUGAAGGUCUUAGGAUUGUAAAAUUCUUUCACCGGGGACGAUAAUGACGGUACCCGGAGAAGAAGCCCCGGCUAACUUCGUG
This 433-nucleotide ribosomal RNA is filed under the name uncultured bacterium. Its description in RNAcentral is "partial 16S ribosomal RNA". It matches the Rfam family "Bacterial small subunit ribosomal RNA", at positions 29 to 507 of the family's 1533-position model. The record is from RNAcentral.